UACGGGAGGCAGCAGUGGGGAAUAUUGCACAAUGGGCGCAAGCCUGAUGCAGCCAUGCCGCGUGUAUGAAGAAGGCCUUCGGGUUGUAAAGUACUUUCAGUCGUGAGGAAGGUGUUAAGGUUAAUAACCUUAGCAAUUGACGUUAGCGACAGAAGAAGCACCGGCUAACUCCGUGCCAGCAGCCGCGGUAAUACGGAGGGUGCGAGCGUUAAUCGGAAUUACUGGGCGUAAAGGGCACGCAGGCGGUUAAUUAAGUUGGAUGUGAAAUCCCCGGGCUUAACCUGGGAAUGGCAUUCAAGACUGGUUAGCUAGAGUCUUGUAGAGGGGGUUAGAAUUCCAUGUGUAGCGGUGAAACUGCGUAGAGAUGUGGAGGAAUACCGGUGGCGAAGGCGGCCCCUGGACAAAGGCUGACGCUCAUGUGCGAAAGCGUGGGGAGCAAACAGGGAUUAGAUA
This 453-nucleotide ribosomal RNA is filed under the name uncultured bacterium. RNAcentral describes it as "bacterial SSU rRNA". It matches the Rfam family "Bacterial small subunit ribosomal RNA", at positions 340 to 784 of the family's 1533-position model. The record is from RNAcentral.